UACGGGGGGGGCAAGCGUUGUUCGGAAUUACUGGGCGUAAAGGGCUCGUAGGCGGCCAACUAAGUCGGAUGUGAAAUCCCCAGGCUUAACCUGGGAACUGCAUCCGAUACUGGAUGGCUUGAAUCCGGGAGAGGGAUGUGGAAUUCCAGGUGUAGCGGUGAAAUGCGUAGAUAUCUGGAGGAACACCGGUGGCGAAGGCGGCAUCCUGGACCGGUAUUGACGCUGAGGAGCGAAAGCCAGGGGAGCAAACGGG
RNAcentral lists this ribosomal RNA (253 nucleotides) under uncultured bacterium. Its description in RNAcentral is "partial 16S ribosomal RNA". It matches the Rfam family "Bacterial small subunit ribosomal RNA", at positions 524 to 776 of the family's 1533-position model. The record is from RNAcentral.